RNAcentral lists this ribosomal RNA (1573 nucleotides) under Weissella confusa. RNAcentral describes it as "bacterial SSU rRNA". It matches the Rfam family "Bacterial small subunit ribosomal RNA". Lineage: Bacteria; Bacillati; Bacillota; Bacilli; Lactobacillales; Lactobacillaceae. The record is from RNAcentral.
AUUGAGAGUUUGAUCCUGGCUCAGGAUGAACGCUGGCGGCGUGCCUAAUACAUGCAAGUCGAACGCUUUGUGGUUCAACUGAUUUGAAGAGCUUGCUCAGAUAUGACGAUGGACAUUGCAAAGAGUGGCGAACGGGUGAGUAACACGUGGGAAACCUACCUCUUAGCAGGGGAUAACAUUUGGAAACAGAUGCUAAUACCGUAUAACAAUGACAACCGCAUGGUUGUUAUUUAAAAGAUGGUUCUGCUAUCACUAAGAGAUGGUCCCGCGGUGCAUUAGCUAGUUGGUAAGGUAAUGGCUUACCAAGGCGAUGAUGCAUAGCCGAGUUGAGAGACUGAUCGGCCACAAUGGGACUGAGACACGGCCCAUACUCCUACGGGAGGCAGCAGUAGGGAAUCUUCCACAAUGGGCGAAAGCCUGAUGGAGCAACGCCGCGUGUGUGAUGAAGGGUUUCGGCUCGUAAAACACUGUUGUAAGAGAAGAAUGACAUUGAGAGUAACUGUUCAAUGUGUGACGGUAUCUUACCAGAAAGGAACGGCUAAAUACGUGCCAGCAGCCGCGGUAAUACGUAUGUUCCAAGCGUUAUCCGGAUUUAUUGGGCGUAAAGCGAGCGCAGACGGUUAUUUAAGUCUGAAGUGAAAGCCCUCAGCUCAACUGAGGAAUUGCUUUGGAAACUGGAUGACUUGAGUGCAGUAGAGGAAAGUGGAACUCCAUGUGUAGCGGUGAAAUGCGUAGAUAUAUGGAAGAACACCAGUGGCGAAGGCGGCUUUCUGGACUGUAACUGACGUUGAGGCUCGAAAGUGUGGGUAGCAAACAGGAUUAGAUACCCUGGUAGUCCACACCGUAAACGAUGAGUGCUAGGUGUUUGAGGGUUUCCGCCCUUAAGUGCCGCAGCUAACGCAUUAAGCACUCCGCCUGGGGAGUACGACCGCAAGGUUGAAACUCAAAGGAAUUGACGGGGACCCGCACAAGCGGUGGAGCAUGUGGUUUAAUUCGAAGCAACGCGAAGAACCUUACCAGGUCUUGACAUCCCUUGACAACUCCAGAGAUGGAGCGUUCCCUUCGGGGACAAGGUGACAGGUGGUGCAUGGUUGUCGUCAGCUCGUGUCGUGAGAUGUUGGGUUAAGUCCCGCAACGAGCGCAACCCUUAUUACUAGUUGCCAGCAUUCAGUUGGGCACUCUAGUGAGACUGCCGGUGACAAACCGGAGGAAGGUGGGGAUGACGUCAAAUCAUCAUGCCCCUUAUGACCUGGGCUACACACGUGCUACAAUGGCGUAUACAACGAGUUGCCAACCCGCGAGGGUGAGCUAAUCUCUUAAAGUACGUCUCAGUUCGGAUUGUAGGCUGCAACUCGCCUACAUGAAGUCGGAAUCGCUAGUAAUCGCGGAUCAGCACGCCGCGGUGAAUACGUUCCCGGGUCUUGUACACACCGCCCGUCACACCAUGAGAGUUUGUAACACCCAAAGCCGGUGGGGUAACCUUCGGGAGCCAGCCGUCUAAGGUGGGACAGAUGAUUAGGGUGAAGUCGUAACAAGGUAGCCGUAGGAGAACCUGCGGCUGGAUCACCUCCUU